Molecule: long non-coding RNA, 1818 nt
Organism: Pongo pygmaeus (Bornean orangutan)
Lineage: Eukaryota; Metazoa; Chordata; Mammalia; Primates; Hominidae
Exons: 4
Source: RefSeq, a predicted model, not a curated record
CUCCCUCCUUAAGCCCCCUGUCCUCCUGCCAAGCUGGAUGGUUGCCUGUCUAGGCCUGAUGUACAGCUGUCAUCCUGUUCCUUCCCUCCAAUACCCCCUUGGAUCUUGGUCUAUGUACUAUAACAAAAUCCCAGUAUUUCAUGGGCUCCUGUUGCCUGAAUCCUCCAGGAAAAAAGCAAUCUACAUUACAGAAAAAUGAACCACUUGCUGUCACGGAAUAGAUUUCUUCUUUCCUGUAUCAUCAUCUUUCUUAAUUUGUUUCCUAAUUUUGAUAGACCACACCUCCUUUCAGCUUUUUAUACAAAAGGGUAGAGGGGCAGUAAAUUCCAUGAGAUCCUGCCUGUCUGAAAAUUUCUUUAGUCUUCUCUUACACGUGGUUAAUAUUGUGACUAUAUUUUAUGUUCAAAAUAAUUUUCUCUCAGAAUUUCAAAGGAAUCAUUUUAGUGUUGCUACUGGACAUCAUUCUGGUUCCCAGUGCUUUAUAUGUAACUUAUUUUUUCUCUGGAAACAUUUGGGAUUCAUGAUAAUAUGCUUUGAUUUGGGUCCCACCUACUUUAAUUUAUUGCACUGGGUACUUAGCGGGCGCUUUCCAUCAGGAAGCUCGUGUUUUUCAGUUCUGGGAAUUUUCUUGUAUUAUUUAUUUGAUAAUUUUCUCUCCUUAUCAUUCACCUCCUAUUGUCUAUCUCUUUGCUUCAUGGUUUGCUUUUCAGGAGGGUUCCUCUACUUUAUAUUCCAACUCUUCUACAUAAUUUAUUUCUGCCAUUUAUGUAUUUUUUUAAUUCCCAAGAGCUCUUUGUGUUUUUCAAAUCUUCUUUUGCAUUCUAUUCCCAUAUUAUGAAUAUUAUGCAAUAGCUAUUAUGCAAUAGUUUCUCUUAUUUAUCUGAGGAUACUGAUAAGAGUUUGCUGAAAGUACUGAUGGUACUUUCCUUGAGUACUAUUUUUUUUUCCGUCUGUCUUUUAUGUUAGAGGCCUUUAUGAAAUGUCUAGCAAUCCUUUACUGGCUGCCCUGUUUAAGAGGCACUGCAAGGCAUACUUGGAACUCUCUGUGUACAUGGGCAGAGUUUGUCAGCAAGUGGGACUCAUGGAAGACAAUCAGGUGGGCUUGUAGCUCUUUCAUUAAAGGACUCACAAGGGUUAGUAUCUGCAGAUCUGAUCUUUUGUGCUGGUCAUCAGAGUCCUAGAUAUGGAAGUAGCCAAUGGAAUAUACAUUUCUAAGGCUUUAUGAUACUCAUCUGAGCAACUUAAUACUCAGAACAGGGUCUCACUUUGUCACCAAGGAUGGCGUGCAGUGGCAUAAUCUUGGCUCAGUGCAGCCUCAAAUCCCUGGGCUCAAGUGAUCCUCCCAUCUCAGCCUCCCAAAGUGCUGGGAUUACAGGCAUGAGCCACCAUGUCAGGCCCAGCGUUUCUGUUUGAGGUAUAGGAGGGAGGCAGGAGCAGAUUUGGCUGCAGAAGAGGAGAAGGCAAUGUGACCACAGAAACAGAGAUUGGAGUCAUACAGCUACCAGCCGAGAACACCGGCAGGCAGCUACCAGAAGAUGGAAGCGGCAAGGAACAGAUUCUCCCCAAGACCAGAAGGAUCCAACCCUGAUGACACCUUGAUUUUAUUCCUAUGUAACUCAUUUUGAAUUUAUACUUAAUUGUAAUUGUUCUGGCUUCCAGAACUGUAAAAAUAAAACAAACAAAAAAACCCAAAAAACAUUUCUAUUGUCUUAAGCCACAAGGUUUGUGCUAAUUUGUUACAACAGCAAUAGAUAACUAAUACAUGCAUAUUUAAAACUUUUUGGAAUUUUAAGCCUAAUAAAUGUCCAUAUACAUUAA